CUUCCGCUCUCACUUUAUCUCAUCAUAACAAGCUAGACGCUCAGUAAGGAUUCAGCGAGGUAUUCGACGUAUCUCAUCAUAACAAGCUAGACGCUCAGUAAGGAUUCAGCGAGGUAUUCGACGCUCAGUAAGGAUUCAGCGAGAAUCAUCCUAACCAGUCAGCCAGCUGGGGUGAUUCUUUAUAAGCACCCUGGUCAACCAGUGGAUAUAAUCUGAAUGCAAAUCCUUCUGCACACCCCAAAUGUGACCUACACAAUAUCAAGAUAUCAUGUACGGUGGGACUGCUGACUUAAGAGUGUCAAAUAGAAGCUCUCACUUGAUCCAGACAGUGACAUAGCUACAACUACUCUCCGAGUAUGAUCACCCACAUGCUCUCGCAGUAUGAAGAAACUGAAAUACCCACAUGAGCCAGACCCUGUUCUUUCAUCCAUUGCUUUGAUAACCCACUUAUCUGAUGAUGAAUGAGAAAAAUGUGUCCUAGUGUCUGUAAUAAACUUUCCAGAUUUCAUCAACUCUUCAUUGAUGGAACUUAAAGAGAUCAAUACAGGCCAAAAAUGACCAUGACCAUCUAGUCCACCAAGAAACCCCCCAGAAUUUCCGGUCCAUGUUGUUUGUAGAUAUACUGCAGAAGACCUCUAAUGUGAAUGAAAUUUAGUUUUGUAAGAGUGGAGCAUGGAGUACAUCCUUUGGAAAUCUCAAAGGAAGCUAACAAUACUCCUCCUUAUCUGGCUCAGGACCUUCUCCAGAGAAGAUGAAAAUGAAAAAGAUAGAAUUAACAGUUCUGACAAGGAAUAGAACACUGAAACAUAAUCUCCAGUAGGUUCCCCCAUUUUGGGAGAUGUGCUGCAUUACCUAGCCAAAAAUCCAUUAAGCUAUUACUAACAUCAUGUUUAGAAUAGAAGUGGACAUAGGAAUUAGGCAGCAAUGGAGUUGUGCACUGGCUAAAGUCGCUAAACCAUCCUCUACAAGUCAUGUUCAUCUAUGGUUGAUUUCUACCACCCUUCCAUAUGUGAGACUGGAAUUCACAGUUACCCUUUCACAGUGUUAAACAUAAUAUGUAUUAUCUUCCUACGCCAUUAAGUAUAUACCUCAAGUCAUCGCUAAUUAUCCUCAUCCCUCAUGGCCAACUCGGCAUACAUAUGGCUAUUUCAGUUGAAAGUCUUUUACGUUUUUUGUACUCUAAUGCAUGUUCAAAUUUGUAAAUUAAAUAUUAAUUGAUGACAGAUAUGUGUUUUGAUAUUUUAAACAUAGGCAAUCAAAGAUUACAAAACUCACUGAGUGAUAGACAAGGUAUUAUCAACAUGACCAAUAUGAUAACAUUAUAUGCAAAUUAUAGUUGAUAAUCAAUAUCAUG
Molecule: long non-coding RNA, 1354 nt
Organism: Magallana angulata
Lineage: Eukaryota; Metazoa; Mollusca; Bivalvia; Ostreida; Ostreidae
Exons: 7
Source: RefSeq, a predicted model, not a curated record